This is an RNA transcript of Cynara cardunculus var. scolymus (artichoke), 3311 nucleotides long. It is a transcript of the gene named protein-tyrosine-phosphatase MKP1-like, with no coding region annotated. The record is from RefSeq and is a predicted model, not a curated record. The transcript is spliced from 3 exons. NCBI's taxonomy places the organism in Eukaryota, Viridiplantae, Streptophyta, Magnoliopsida, Asterales, Asteraceae.
UUUCUUUUGGUCGUAUCAAAGAUUAGGACUUCAAGAUUCUAUUCUAUAAUACUCCACUCAUUCUUGCUCUAAUUCUUCGUUUUCUCUGCGUAGACAUCUCCGUCUCCAAUCUCCAAUCUCCAUCUCCAUCUCUCUUACGGAUGUAUUAUCUUCUGGGACGUGCGAAAUCGGUAAGCUUUUCCCCCUUAUUUCUAAUUUAUACGCUCUUAUUUGAAGCGAAGAUUUGAUCUUGUGAUAAACCCUAGAAAAUCCGUGACGAUAUUACAAUUGAUUUCCCCCAAUCUUGGUUUCUUUUGAAGCGUAUGUAUUUCUCUUUGAUUCUCAGAUCUAUACCCCUUAUCUUUGUUUUUGUUUUUUGGGUGUGAUUUGAAGUUAGAAAUUUGAUGUUUAACGUGACUGGGUACAUGUAUUUGUUGAUUUAAUUGAUUUAUUAUUAUUGGUUCUCGUUUUGAAUUCCGUUUGAUGGGUAUUUGAAAUUGGGCUCACAGGUGAAAUUUUCGAUGAAGGUGUUGGAUUUUGGCAUCUGUAGUUGAGUUAUGUAAAUUUCUAGGUUUUAUAGAUCAGCCAAGUGUAGAUUUUACUUAUUAGCCGGUUUUUAGAGUGGAAUGUUAGGAAAAGAAGAUGGUAGCGAUGGUGGGAAUGAUGGUGACGGUGGUGGUGGUGCAGGAGCACCUCCGCCAAUCUCCGGUAACCGGAAAAUGUAUUGGCGGUCUGCUUCCUGGUCUUCUUCUCGGAUGUCUUUGCCACCACUUAUUCCUGAGAGUGAGAAAGAUUGUAUAGAACCAAAUGGAGCUAAUGGUGGUAACAGUAGGAGGUUUCCUGCCCCAUUAACCCCUAGAUCGAAUAGUAAAGGUCGGUCCCUUCUGCCCCCGAUCUCAAUUGCUAGAAGAAGCUUAGAUGAGUGGCCUAAAGCGGGUUCAGAUGACAUUGGCGAGUGGCCACUUCCUAGCACACCUAGGGGCAGAGAUUCGAGCAACGGUGGAGAAAGGUUAAAGCUUGAUUUGUCCACAAUUCAAAGGAUCCCAGAUAAGAACGCGGGGCUUGGCAAAAGAGAAAAAAUUGCAUUCUUUGAUAAGAAAUGCUCAAAAGUUGCUGACCAUGUUUUCCUUGGUGGUGAUGCGGUUGCAAGAGACAAAGACAUACUUAAACAACACGGAAUCACCCAUAUUCUCAACUGUGUCGGUUUCGUAUGCCCUGAAUAUUUCAAAGCGAAUUUUGUUUAUCGAACUUUAUGGUUACAAGAUAGCCCUUCAGAAGAUAUCACAAGCAUAUUGUAUGAUGUUUUUGAUUACUUUGAAGAUGUUAGAGAACAAAAUGGAGCUGUUUUCGUGCAUUGUUGCCAAGGGGUUUCCCGAUCCACUUCAUUAGUAAUCGCUUAUCGGAUGUGGAGAGAAGGGCAGAGUUUCGAUGACGCCUUUCAAUACGUCAAGGCGGCUAGAGGGAUUGCCGAUCCAAAUAUGGGAUUUGCAUGCCAAUUGUUACAAUGCCAAAAAAGGGUUCAUGCAUUUCCUUUGAGUCCAAGUUCAUUACUUAGAUUAUAUAGAAUAGCUCCUCAUUCCCCAUAUGAUCCUUUGCAUCUUGUUCCAAAAAUGUUGAAUUCCCCUUCUCCAGCUGCUCUAGAUUCGAGAGGUGCGUUUAUUAUACACGUACCUUCGACAAUCUAUGUUUGGAUUGGUCAGAAAUGUGAAUCUAUUAUGGAACGUGAUGCAAGAGGCGCUGUUUGCCAGAUUAUUCGAUAUGAAAAAGUUCAGGGACCGAUUGUUGUAGUCAAGGAAGGAGAAGAACCAUCCUAUUUUUGGGAUGCUUUUUCUACUUUUCUACCUUUGAUGGAUGUUAUUGAGUCGUCUAAAGUCACCCCUGGUAAAAGAAUAGUUGAUUCGUAUAAUGUCGACUUUGAGAUUUUUCAGAAAGCAAUUGUUGGUGGAUUUGUGCCACCAUUUGCAUCAUCCGAAACUGAGCAGGAAACUCACCUUCCGGCAAGAGAAAGUACUUGGAGUGUUUUGAGGCGUAAGUUUGCAUUUGGAAACAUGAAGGAAUUCGUUUUUGCUUCCAAAUCAUCCAUUUCUAGAGUUUAUCCAGAUUCUGGUUCGAUUCUUGGUACAGAAAACAAUUCUGUGUCUAAACCGUUUCUCAUUUCUUCAAAUUCUUUAUUAUCACCAUCAUUUUCGUCAUCUUCAUCAUCAUCCUCUCAUCUUUCCCCAGAUUCCAUAUCUUCUUCUGAUUCAAGCGUUAACUCCAAGUGUUGCUCGGACUCUCCUGCCAUAUCUCCUCGAGUAGCAUCGUGUAAUCAUGCUUUAUCAUUAUCAAACUUAUCACUCGUUCCAACAAAACUUUCUCCUCAUUCUAUAUCUAAAACUUCAGAGUUCAUUGAUGUCAAUUUUACUUCCAACCCAUUGUCACCAUCAAAAAGGUCUUCGCUUUCUAUAGCUGAACGUAGAGGGGGACCUCCUAAAUGUCUUAAGCUGCCAAUGGUGAGUGAUGGUUCCAAGGCCUGUGAACAAGAAAAUGUCAAGUUGAAUUACUCGGGUUUUACACAACAGGGACCAAAUCAAGAAUUGCUGUCUCAGGGUUCUUCAUGUUCAAAAGGCUCAGUUUCGGAAGGUGCUUUCAAUCAAACUUCUGGUGGGUCAAAUAACAUCGAUUUAAUGGAGGAAAAUGAAUUGGGUAGUGAGAAUGUAAAGCAACCGGUGGUGGCACGAGAAUGGCCUAGUUUAAAGAAAGUUGUAAGAUUUGAUUAUGGUGAUUUGGAUUCCCGACAGAUGUUCAUUUUCACUGCUCCUAGUUCAGGUUAUGGAAAAUUAGAAAAAUCCGUACUUUACUUAUGGGUAGGGAAAGAUUUCAGGCAUCACAGCAGGAAUGCACCUGGGACAAGCGAAGGGCGUGCUGAACCACCAUAUUUUGACAUGAAAUGAAAGAAGUUAUUAACGAUGUUCGCACUCAAAAUGAGCCUGUCAGACGACACUCAUAUCAAGGUCGUGAAGCAAGAUGAAGAAUCUUCAGAAUUCCUUCCGCUGCCGAGUACUUUGUAGGACGAAGUUAAUCAGAGGUCCUGCAAUCUUCCAUAAUAUUCCAGUGAAAGAUGCUGAAAAAUACAUGAAGGUACCGAGGCCAUGCCUUUUCUGAUAAGGGCUGAUUGCAACAAAUUCCUUCUUGGAAUUCUCCAGAAAACGGUGUGACGUUUUGCAUUCAGCAAAGUUCGAAGCCGGAAGGGUUGUUUGUCCAUUGUUAUUAUCACAUGUACAGCGUAUUCGUUUCGGUGUACAAAAUCAUCUAGUUUGUGUUAUUAUUGAAGGAAGUUUUAGAUUCAUGCA